CUUUUUGCUCAGCAGAUAGCUCUCGUGUGCGGCAGGCUUAAGCCUGCCGCACACGAGAGCUAUCUGCUCAGCAAAAAG
Paramuricea clavata is the source of this 78-nucleotide non-coding RNA. The record is from the annotation of a GenBank genome assembly. NCBI's taxonomy places the organism in Eukaryota, Metazoa, Cnidaria, Anthozoa, Malacalcyonacea, Plexauridae.